GACGAAGGGGGCUAGCGUUGUUCGGAAUUACUGGGCGUAAAGGGCGCGUAGGUGGCCCUGCAAGUCAGGCGUUAAAGACCCAGGCUCAACCUGGGGAAUGCGCUUGAGACUGCAGGGCUUGAGACCGGAAGAGGAGAGUGGAAUUCCCAGUGUAGAGGUGAAAUUCGUAGAUAUUGGGAAGAGCACCAGUGGCGAAGGCGGCUCUCUGGUCCGGUUCUGACGCUAAGGCGCGAAAGCGUGGGGAGCAAACAGG
Molecule: ribosomal RNA, 253 nt
Filed under: uncultured prokaryote
Description: partial 16S ribosomal RNA
Rfam family: Bacterial small subunit ribosomal RNA
Source: RNAcentral